RNAcentral lists this ribosomal RNA (253 nucleotides) under uncultured bacterium. RNAcentral's name for it is "partial 16S ribosomal RNA". It matches the Rfam family "Bacterial small subunit ribosomal RNA", at positions 524 to 776 of the family's 1533-position model. The record is from RNAcentral.
UACGUAGGGUGCGAGCGUUGCCCGGAUUUAUUGGGCGUAAAGGGCGCGUAGGCGGCCACGCACGUCCGUUGUGAAAUCGCCCGGCUCAACUGGGCGGGGUCAGCGGAUACGGUGUGGCUCGAGCAAGCUAGGGGGCAAUGGAAUUCCCGGUGUAGUGGUGGAAUGCGUAGAUAUCGGGAGGAACACCAGUGGCGAAGGCGGUUGCCUGGAGCUUUGCUGACGCUGAUGCGCGAAAGCGUGGGGAGCGAUCCGG